Molecule: long non-coding RNA, 379 nt
Organism: Acromyrmex echinatior (Panamanian leafcutter ant)
Lineage: Eukaryota; Metazoa; Arthropoda; Insecta; Hymenoptera; Formicidae
Source: RefSeq, a predicted model, not a curated record
AUAAAAAUAAGGCGUUAAUCGCAAUCUUUCAACAGGACAAAAAUUACUACUGACAAGAUAGCAGUGGUACGAAAAGCUGCAUCUACGAUUGUGGCUUUGAGAUUAUAACGUUUCACUCGUGUCAUCGUCAUGAUGUUCGCAUGCACGCUGGUGCGCACGCACGCACGCACGCACGCACAUGAUGCGCAAAAUCCGAACAGCAACCUCCCCGUAAUGCGUAUCGGGUCAUGCUAAUGCUGAUAAAUGCAUAGAAAUGAUUGCGUGCUGAUAACAUUCCGACUUUCAACAUAACCAAUCUGAAACGUUAAUCUCCCCCAAAAUUAGAUUAGAAAGAAAGGAAGGAAAGAAAGUUAUUAUUGCGAAAAAUAUUACCUCAGGG